UUCUGCGGUUGGGCAUAACCGUAGCCAUAACCAGCCAUUUGGUUGCCAUACAUUUGCUGAGGAUACAUGUAACCCAUCUGCCCAGAUGGCAUUUGUUGUGGAAACACACCCAUCAAUUGCCCACCUUGCAUUGGUUGAGGUGACAAGCCUACCAUCUGAUUGCUUUGCAUAGUCUGGUUCAUCAUGGCGGGAUGUCCACCAGUGAUCUGUUGUGUAUACAUACCAUGGGCAUAUGAACCACCAGCUAAUUGCUGGCUGUUAGCUGCCACCAGCUGAUUAUUUUGCAUUGAUAAAGCAUUUGGACUACUAGACAUGAGCUGAUUGUUGUGCAUUGGUAGAGUAUGUGGACUGCCUGGCAACAUCAGACUAUUUUGCAUUGGUUGAGCUAGGUGACAAGCCUACCAUCUGAUUGCUUUGCAUAGUCUGGUUCAUCAUGGCGGGAAGUCCACCAGUGAUCUGCUGUGUAUACAUUCCAUGGGCAUAUGAACCACCA
RNAcentral lists this long non-coding RNA (493 nucleotides) under Nicotiana benthamiana. Its description in RNAcentral is "long non-coding RNA (NBEN_LNC010363)". The record is from RNAcentral. Lineage: Eukaryota; Viridiplantae; Streptophyta; Magnoliopsida; Solanales; Solanaceae.